Molecule: ribosomal RNA, 2894 nt
Filed under: Saccharomyces paradoxus
Lineage: Eukaryota; Fungi; Ascomycota; Saccharomycetes; Saccharomycetales; Saccharomycetaceae
Description: 21S ribosomal RNA
Rfam family: Bacterial large subunit ribosomal RNA
Source: RNAcentral
GUAAAAAGUAGAAUAAUAGAUUUGAAAUAUUUAUUAUAUAGAUUUAAAGAGAUAAUCAUGGAGUAUAAAAUUAUUAAAGAUAAGUUUUAUAAAAAUUUUUAAUAAUAACUAUUAAUAGAAUUAGGUUACAAAUAAAUUAAUAAUAAUUAAUUUUAAAACCUAAAGGGAAACCUUAAUAUUAAUAAUAUAUAUUAUUUAUAUUAUUAAUAUGAUAAUAACUAAGUGAACUGAAACAUCUAAGUAACUUAAGGAGAAUAAAUCAACAGAGAUAUUAUGAGUAUUGGUGAGAGAAAAUAAUAAAGGUCUAAUAAGUAUUAUGUAAUAAAUAUGUAAGAAAAUAGGAUAACAAAUUCUAAGACUAAAUACUAUUAAUAAGUAUAAAAAGUACCGUAAGGGAAAGUAUGAAAAUGAUUAUUUUAUAAGCAAUCAUGAAUAUAAUUUUUAUAUUAAUGAUGUACCUUUUGUAUAAUGGGUCAGCAAGUAAUUAAUAUUAGUAAAACAAUAAAGUUAUAAAAAAAUAGAAAAAAAUAUAUAUAUAUAUAAAAAUAUAUUAAAAUAUUUAAUUAAUAUUAAUUGACCCGAAAGCAAACGAUCUAACUAUGAUAAGAUGGGUAAACGAUCGAACAGGUUGAUGUUGCAAUAUCAUCUGAUUAAUUGUGGUUAGUAGUGAAAGACAAAUCUGGUUUGCAGAUAGCUGGUUUUCUAUGAAAUAUAUGUAAGUAUAGCCUUUAUAAAUAAUAAUUAUUAUAUAAUAUUAUAUUUAUAUUAUAUAAAGAAUGGUACAGCAAUUAAUAUAUAUUAGGGAACUAUAAAAGUUUUAUUAAUAAUAUUAAAUCUCGAAAUAUUUAAUUAUAUAUAAUAAAGAGUCAGAUUAUGUGCGAUAAGGUAAAUAAUCUAAAGGGAAACAGCCCAGAUUAAGAUAUAAAGUUCCUAAUAAAUAAUAAGUGAAAUAAAUAUUAAAAUAUUAUAAUAUAAUCAGUUAAUGGGUUUGACAAUAACCAUUUUUUAAUGAACAUGUAACAAUGCACUGAUUUAUAAAAUAAAAUAAUAUUUAAAAUCAAAUAUAUAUAUAUAUAUAUAUUUGUUAAUAGAUAAUAUACGGAUCUUAAUAAUAAGAAUUAUUUAAUUCCUAAAAUGGAAUAUCAUAUUUAUUAAUAAUAAUAAAAAAUAUGAAUACUGAAUAUCUAAAUAUUAUUAUUAAUAAAAAGUAAUAAUAAUAAUAUGGUAAUAGAACAUUUAAUGAUAAUAUAUAUUAGUUAUUAAUUAAUAUAUGUAUUAAUUAAAUAGAGAAUGCUGACAUGAGUAACGAAAAAAAGGUAUAAACCUUUUCACCUAAAACAUAAGGUUUAACUAUAAAAGUACGGCCCCUAAUUAAAUAAUAAGAAUAUAAAUAUAUUUAAGAUGGGAUAAUCUAUAUUAAUAAAAAUUAUCUUAAAAUAUAUAUAUAUAUAUAUAAAAAUAUAUUAAUAUAUAAUAAAUAUAUAUAUAUAUAUAAUUAUAUUAUAUUUAAUAUAAACUAAUAAAGAUCAGGAAAAAUAUUAAUGUAUACCGUAAUGUAGACCGACUCAGGUAUGUAAGUAGAGAAUAUGAAGGUGAAUUAGAUAAUUAAAGGGAAGGAACUCGGCAAAGAUAGCUCAUAAGUUAGUCAAUAAAGAGUAAUAAGAACAAAGUUGUACAACUGUUUACUAAAAACACCGCACUUUGCAGAAACGAUAAGUUUAAGUAUAAGGUGUGAACUCUGCUCCAUGCUUAAUAUAUAAAUUAAAUUAUUUAACGAUAAUUUAAUUAAAUUUAGGUAAAUAGCAGCCUUAUUAUGAGGGUUAUAAUGUAGCGAAAUUCCUUGGCCUAUAAUUGAGGUCCCGCAUGAAUGACGUAAUGAUACAACAACUGUCUCCCCUUUAAGCUAAGUGAAAUUGAAAUCGUAGUGAAGAUGCUAUGUACCUUCAGCAAGACGGAAAGACCCUAUGCAGCUUUACUGUAAUUAGAUAGAUCGAAUUAUCGUUUAUUAUAUUCAGCAUAUUAAGUAAUCCUAUAUUUUAUAGGUAAUCGUUUAGAUAUUAAUGAGAUACUUAUUAUAAUAUAAUGAUAAUUCUAAUCUUAUAAAUAAAAAAAAUUAAUAAUAAUAAUUAUUAUUAUUAUUAAUAAUACUUAAUAGAUAUAUUAUUCUUAAGUAAUAUAUAAUAUAUUAUUAUAUAUAUAUAUAAGAGACAAUCUCUAAUUGGUAGUUUUGAUGGGGCGUCAUUAUCAGCAAAAGUAUCUGAAUAAGUCCAUAAAUAGAUAUAUAAAAUUAUUGAAUAAAAAUAAUAUAUAUUAUAUAUAUUAAUUAUAAAUUGAAAUAUAUUUAUAUUUACAGGGUAAUAUAACGAAAGAGUAGAUAUUGUAAGUUAUGUUUGCCACCUCGAUGUCGACUCAACAUUUCCUCUUGGUUGUAAAAGCUAAGAAGGGUUUGACUGUUCGUCAAUUAAAAUGUUACGUGAGUUGGGUUAAAUACGAUGUGAAUCAGUAUGGUUCCUAUCUGCUGAAGGAAAUAUUAUCAAAUUAAAUCUCAUUAUUAGUACGCAAGGACCAUAAUGAAUCAACCUAUGGUGUAUCUAUUGAUAAUUAUAUAAUAUAUUAAUAAUAAUUUUAUAAUUAAUAUAUUAUCUAUAUUAGUUUAUAUUUUUAUAUAUUAAUUAUCAUAGUAGAUAAGCUAAGUUGAUAAUAAAUAAAUAUUGAAUACAUAUUAAAUAUGAAGUUGUUUUAAUAAGAUAAUUAAUCUGAUAAUUUUAUACUAAAAUUUAAUAAUUAAUAGGUUUUAUAUAUUAUUUAUAUAUAUAUAUAAUUAUAUUAAAUAUAUAUAUAAUAUUAAUAAAAUACUAAUUUAUCAGUUAUCUAUAUAAUAUCUAAUCUAUUAU